GAUGAACGCUAGCGGGAGGCCUAACACAUGCAAGCCGAGCGGUAUUGUUUCUUCGGAAAUGAGAGAGCGGCGUACGGGUGCGGAACACGUGUGCAACCUGCCUUUAUCUGGGGGAUAGCCUUUCGAAAGGAAGAUUAAUACUCCAUAAUAUAUUGAACGGCAUCGUUUAAUAUUGAAAGCUCCGGCGGAUAGAGAUGGGCACGCGCAAGAUUAGCUAGUUGGUGAGGUAACGGCUCACCAAGGCGAUGAUCUUUAGGGGGCCUGAGAGGGUGAUCCCCCACACUGGUACUGAGACACGGACCAGACUCCUACGGGAGGCAGCAGUGAGGAAUAUUGGUCAAUGGGUGCAAGCCUGAACCAGCCAUCCCGCGUGAAGGACGACUGCCCUAUGGGUUGUAAACUUCUUUUGUAUAGGGAUAAACCUACCCUCGUGAGGGUAGCUGAAGGUACUAUACGAAUAAGCACCGGCUAACUCCGUGCCAGCAGCCGCGGUAAUACGGAGGGUGCAAGCGUUAUCCGGAUUUAUUGGGUUUAAAGGGUCCGUAGGCGGACUUAUAAGUCAGUGGUGAAAGCCUGUCGCUUAACGAUAGAACUGCCAUUGAUACUGUAAGUCUUGAGUAUAUUUGAGGUAGCUGGAAUAAGUAGUGUAGCGGUGAAAUGCAUAGAUAUUACUUAGAACACCAAUUGCGAAGGCAGGUCUCUGGGCAGUAACUGACGCUGAGGAGCGAAAGCAUGGGGAGCGAACAGGAUUAGAUACCCUGGUAGUCCAUGCCGUAAACGGUGGGCGCUAGGUGUGAGUCCCUUCCACGGGGUUCGUGCCGUAGCUAACGCAUUAAGCGCCCCGCCUGGGGAGUACGGCCGCAAGGCUAAAACUCAAAGGAAUUGACGGGGGCCCGCACAAGCGGCGGAGCAUGUGGAUUAAUUCGAUGCAACGCGAAGAACCUUACCUGGGCUUGACAUACACUGGAUCGGGCUAGAGAUAGUCUUUCCCUUUGUGGCUGGUGUACAGGUGGUGCAUGGUUGUCGUCAGCUCGUGUCGUGAGAUGUUGGGUUAAGUCCCGCAACGAGCGCAACCCUUGUCUUAUGUUGCCAGCAUUUGGUUGGGGACUCAUGAGAGACUGCCGGGGUGAACUCGGAGGAAGGUGGGGAUGACGUCAAAUCAUCAUGCCCCUUAUGUCCAGGGCUUCACACAUGCUACAAUGGUCGGUACAACGCGUGUGCGAUCCUGUGAGGGUGUGCUAAUCGCUGAAAGCCGGUCGUAGUUCGGAUUGGGGUCUGCAACUCGACCCCAUGAAGUCGGAGUCGCUAGUAAUCGCAGAUCAGCAACGCUGCGGUGAAUACGUUCCCGGGCCU
Molecule: ribosomal RNA, 1353 nt
Filed under: uncultured bacterium
Lineage: Bacteria
Description: bacterial SSU rRNA
Rfam family: Bacterial small subunit ribosomal RNA
Source: RNAcentral